CUCAACCUUACGUGAGGAUAGAGUGCUUAACUCUCCACCCUACCCCACUACCCUCCCUAAACUUAUAAAACACAUCCCGAUUGCAUCAGACAGACACUGACAAUAACAAGGUAUUUCAAACUCAUGUGCUACAUGGCUGUGGGGUUUCUUUUCCCCCUUUUUAUAGCUGAUCUAUCUGUAUUUCCCUUUGAAGUUAAGAUAAACCAAUGUAGCAUUUGAUAUACCAACAUAGCUAGGUGUCGAUAAACCAAUGUAGCUAGGUGUCGAUAAACCAAUGUAGCUAGGUGUAGAUAAACCACCGUAGCUAAGUGUAGAUAAACCAAUGUGUAGAUAAACCAGAAUAGCUAUAGGUAAACCAACGUAGCUAGGUGUAGAUAAACCAACGUAGCUAGGUGUAGAUAAACCAACAUAGCUGUAGAUAAACCAAUGUAGCUAUGUGCAGAUAAACCAACGUAGCUAUAGAUAAACCAACAUAGCUGUAGAUAAACCAACGUAGCUAGGUGUAGAUAAACCAACGUAGCUAUAGGAAAACCAACAUAGCUAGGUGCAGAUAAACCAACGUAGCUAGGUGCAGAUAAACCAACGUAGCUAGGUGUAGAUAAACCAACGUAGCUAGGUGUAGAUAAACCAACGUAGCUAGGUGUAGAUAAACCAACGUAGCUAGGUGGAGAUAAACCAACGUAGCUAGGUGCAGAUAAACC
RNAcentral lists this long non-coding RNA (701 nucleotides) under Salmo salar (Atlantic salmon). RNAcentral's name for it is "lncRNA (ENSSSAG00000122124.1)". The record is from RNAcentral. Lineage: Eukaryota; Metazoa; Chordata; Actinopteri; Salmoniformes; Salmonidae.